GAGAGGGAACCUGCAGCGCUCUGUGGCUGGAGCUGCACGAGUGCUUGACUUGAAAAACCUGGAGGAACUUGCUUUUCUUAGACACAGACACUGUGCCUUCCAUAAUCUGGAGAAGUUUGGAAUAGCUUAGUUUUCAAAUUCACUGACAAAAGAGAACAAGAGAAAAGUGAGAUGUUGAGACUUCUGGAGACAACAUCCUAUGAAAAGAAAAUGAAGGAGUUGGGUAACCUUUGGACAAUAAAGAGGUGAUAUGAUAUACCAUCUUAAAGUAGCUGAAUGUCUGCCACACAGUUGAUGGAACACCAUUGUUUCAGCAAACAUUUUGGGUUUCAGCUUUUUAAUACAAUGAAAACAUUUAAGCCAAUGUUUUAAAUUUAAAUUUUAAAGCAGUGUUUUUGUUUUUGUUGUUUAUGUUUUUGU
Sceloporus undulatus (fence lizard) is the source of this 420-nucleotide long non-coding RNA. RefSeq lists it as uncharacterized. Lineage: Eukaryota; Metazoa; Chordata; Lepidosauria; Squamata; Phrynosomatidae. The record is from RefSeq and is a predicted model, not a curated record. The transcript has 3 exons.